This 260-nucleotide ribosomal RNA is filed under the name uncultured bacterium. Its description in RNAcentral is "partial 16S ribosomal RNA". It matches the Rfam family "Bacterial small subunit ribosomal RNA", at positions 524 to 776 of the family's 1533-position model. The record is from RNAcentral.
UACAGAGGUCCCAAGCGUUGUUCGGAUUCACUGGGCGUAAAGGGUGCGCAGGUGGUUUGGCAAGUUUGACGUGAAAGCCCCGGGCUUAACCCCGGGAAUGGCGUUUGAAAACUGCUUGAACUGGAGGGUUGGGAGGGGGGAUCGUGGAAUUCUUGGUUGUAGCAGUGAAAUGCGUAGAUAUCAAGAGGAACACCAGUGGCGAAGGCGAGUCCCUGGACAAUACCUGACACUGAGGCACGAAAGCCAAGGGAGCAAACAGG